Molecule: small nuclear RNA, 100 nt
Filed under: Peromyscus maniculatus bairdii (prairie deer mouse)
Lineage: Eukaryota; Metazoa; Chordata; Mammalia; Rodentia; Cricetidae
Source: RNAcentral
GCUCACUUUGGCAUAGACUAAUAUUGGAACGAUACAGAGAAGAUUAGCAUGGCCCCUGCACAAGGAUGACAUGCAAAUUCGUGAAGCGUUGCAUACUUUU